RNAcentral lists this ribosomal RNA (438 nucleotides) under uncultured bacterium. RNAcentral's name for it is "bacterial SSU rRNA". It matches the Rfam family "Bacterial small subunit ribosomal RNA", at positions 954 to 1392 of the family's 1533-position model. The record is from RNAcentral.
GCAAAACGCGAAGAACCUUACCUACUCUUGACAUCCAGAGAACUUGGCAGAGAUGCUUUGGUGCCUUCGGGAACUCUGAGACAGGUGCUGCAUGGCUGUCGUCAGCUCGUGUUGUGAAAUGUUGGGUUAAGUCCCGCAACGAGCGCAACCCUUAUCCUUUGUUGCCAGCGGUCCGGCCGGGAACUCAAAGGAGACUGCCAGUGAUAAACUGGAGGAAGGUGGGGAUGACGUCAAGUCAUCAUGGCCCUUACGAGUAGGGCUACACACGUGCUACAAUGGCGCAUACAAAGAGAAGCGACCUCGCGAGAGCAAGCGGACCUCAUAAAGUGCGUCGUAGUCCGGAUUGGAGUCUGCAACUCGACUCCAUGAAGUCGGAAUCGCUAGUAAUCGUGGAUCAGAAUGCCACGGUGAAUACGUUCCCGGGUCUUGUACACACCG